GCGCAUUUAGUGUAGUGGUAUCAUAGUACCCUCCCACGGUACUGACCGGGGUAAAAUUCCCCGAAUGCACA
This is a transfer RNA of Ipomoea nil (Japanese morning glory), 71 nucleotides long. It matches the Rfam family "tRNA". From Rfam's summary of the family: Transfer RNA (tRNA) molecules are approximately 80 nucleotides in length. Their secondary structure includes four short double-helical elements and three loops (D, anti-codon, and T loops). The record is from Rfam. NCBI's taxonomy places the organism in Eukaryota, Viridiplantae, Streptophyta, Magnoliopsida, Solanales, Convolvulaceae.